AUUGAACGCUGGCGGCAGGCCUAACACAUGCAAGUCGAACGAGUGGCGGACGGGAGAGUAAUGUCUGGGAAACUGCCUGAUGGAGGGGGUUAACUACUGGAAACGGUAGCUAAUACCGCAUACCUUCAGAUGCGCCCAGUUGGGCGUAGCUUGUUGGUGGGGUAACGGCUCACCAAGGCGACGAUCCCUAGCUGGUCCGAGAGGAUGACCAGCCAAACUGGAAUUGAGACACGGUCCAGACUCCUACGGGAGGCAGCAGUGGGGAAUAUUGCACAAGGGGCGCAAGCCUGAUGAAGCCAUGCCGCGUGUAUGAAGAAGGCCUUCGGGUUGUAAAGUACUUUCAGCGGGGAGGCGUUACCCGCAGAAGAAGCACCGGCUAACUCCGUGCCAGCCGCCGCGGUAAUAC
Molecule: ribosomal RNA, 406 nt
Filed under: uncultured bacterium
Lineage: Bacteria
Description: partial 16S ribosomal RNA
Rfam family: Bacterial small subunit ribosomal RNA
Source: RNAcentral